AACGAACGCUGGCGGCAGGCCUAACACAUGCAAGUCGAGCGCACUCUUCGGAGUGAGCGGCGGACGGGUUAGUAACGCGUGGGAACGUGCCCAGAUCUAAGGAAUAGCCACUGGAAACGGUGAGUAAUACCUUAUACGCCCUUCGGGGGAAAGAUUUAUCGGAUUUGGAUCGGCCCGCGUUAGAUUAGAUAGUUGGUGGGUAACGCCUACAAGUCUACGAUCUAUAGCUGGUUUUAGAGGAUGAUCAGCAACACUGGGACUGAGACACGGCCCAGACUCCUACGGGAGCAGCAGUGGGGAAUCUUAGACAAUGGCGCAAGCCUGAUCUAGCCAUGCCGCGUGAGUGAUGAAGGCCUUAGGGUCUAAAGCUCUUUCGCCAGGGAUG
This 385-nucleotide ribosomal RNA is filed under the name uncultured bacterium. RNAcentral's name for it is "bacterial SSU rRNA". It matches the Rfam family "Bacterial small subunit ribosomal RNA", at positions 29 to 447 of the family's 1533-position model. The record is from RNAcentral.